This 253-nucleotide unclassified non-coding RNA is filed under the name uncultured Planctomycetia bacterium. RNAcentral's name for it is "contains 16S-23S intergenic spacer region". It matches the Rfam family "Bacterial small subunit ribosomal RNA", at positions 524 to 776 of the family's 1533-position model. Lineage: Bacteria; Pseudomonadati; Planctomycetota; Planctomycetia. The record is from RNAcentral.
UACAGAGGUCCCAAGCGUUGUUCGGAAUCACUGGGCUUAAAGGGCGCGUAGGCGGUCUGCCAAGUCGGGGGUGAAAUCUUUCGGCUUAACCGGAAAAGAGCCUUCGAUACUGGCAGUCUAGAGGGAGGUGGGGGCAGCUGGAACUUCCGGUGGAGCGGUGAAAUGUGUUGAUAUCGGAAGGAACGCCGGUGGCGAAAGCGAGCUGCUGGAUCUCUACUGACGCUGAGGCGCGAAAGCCAGGGGAGCAAACGGG